Molecule: ribosomal RNA, 350 nt
Filed under: uncultured bacterium
Lineage: Bacteria
Description: partial 16S ribosomal RNA
Rfam family: Bacterial small subunit ribosomal RNA
Source: RNAcentral
CCUACGGGAGGCAGCAGUGAGGAAUAUUGGUCAAUGGGCGGAAGCCUGACGCAGCCAAGUAGCGUGCAGGAUGACGGCCCUACGGGUUGUAACCUGCUUUUAUACGGGAAUAACGCGCCUUACGUAUAGGGCUUUGCAUGUACCGUAUGAAUAAGGGCCGGCUAACUCCGUGCCAGCAGCCGCGGUAAGGCGGAAGGUCCGGGCGUUGUCCGGAUUUGUUGGGUUUAAAGGGAGCGUAGGCCGCAUGUCAAGCGUGCUGUGAAAUGUCCGGGCUCAACCCGGGCCUUGCAGCGCGAACUGGCGUGCUUGAGUCCGCGGAAGGCAGGCGGAAUUCGUCGUGUAGCGGUGAA